UAUGGUCAAGCUAGAAAGGGCGCGCGAUGGAUGCCUAGGCGUCGGGAGGCGAUGAAGGACGUGGAUAGCUGCGAUAAGCCUCGGGGAGCCGCUAACAGGCUUUGAUCCGGGGAUCUCCGAAUGGGGCAACCCACUGGGGUUCAUACCCCAGUAUCGUCCGGAACAAUUCAUAACCGGGCGAGGCCAACGAGGGGAAGUGAAACAUCUCAGUACCCUCAGGAAAAGAAAGCAACCGCGAUUCCCUCAGUAGCGGCGAGCGAACGGGGAACAGCCUAAACCGGGUAUACAUGUGGCCCGCAAGCUUAGUAUGCCCGGGGUUGUGGGACAUCGAGGGGCGGGGUUGCGGACCCGCCGGAGGAGGCUGCCUAAUGAGCGGCCUGAUCCGUAGUCGAACGGGAUGGAAAGCCCGGCCAUAGAAGGUGAUAGCCCUGUAGGCGAAACGGUGAAAAUCCUCUGCUCGGUGUUCCCGAGUAGCGUGGGGCACGUGGAACCCUGCGUGAAUCCGGGAGGACCACCUUCCAAGGCUAAAUACUACCCGACGACCGAUAGUGAACCAGUACCGUGAGGGAAAGGUGAAAAGUACCCUUUUGAGGGGAGUGAAAGAGUACCUGAAAUCGCGCGCCUACAAGCAGUGGAAGCCCUAUGGCGGGAGCUUCGGCCCCCGCAACGGGUGACCGCGUACCUUUUGCAUAAUGGGUCAGCGACUUACUCUGCACGGCGAGGUUAAGCCGUAGGGAGACCGAUGGUGGAGCCGUAGCGAAAGCGAGUCUGAACAGGGCGUUGAGUCGUGCGGAGUAGACCCGAAGCCGGGUGAGCUACCCAUGGCCAGGAUGAAGAGUGGGUAAAACCACUUCGGAGGUCCGAACCCAUCGAGGUUGAAAACUCGUGGGAUGAGCUGUGGGUAGGAGUGAAAAGCUAACCGAACUCGGUGAUAGCUGGUUCUCCCCGAAAUAUAUUGAGGUAUAGCCUCGCGAACUCAGCAGCGGAGGUAGAGCACUGGAUGGGCUAGGGGUCUUACCGGAUUACCAAACCCAACCAAACUUCGAAUGCCGCUGACUGCAAUCGCGGGAGUCAGACUACGGGCGAUAAGGUCCGUGGUCGAGAGGGAAACAGCCCAGACCGCCGGCUAAGGUCCCCAAGUGCAUGCUAAGUGGGAAAGGAGGUGGGGGCACACUGACAACCAGGAGGUUGGCUUAGAAGCAGCCAUCCUUUAAAGAAAGCGUAACAGCUCACUGGUCGAUGUGAACCCGCGCCGAAAAUAUAACGGGGCUCAAGCAUGCCACCGAAGCCGCGGGAUCGGUCCGAUCUUCGGAUCGGAUGGAUCGGUAGGGGAGCGUUCCAGCGCCGGUGAAGGCAGACCGAAAGGACUGCUGGAGGCUCUGGAAGUGACUAUGCUGACAUGAGUAGCGAUAAUGCGAGUGAGAAACUCGCACGCCGGAAGCCCAAGGUUUCCUGGGGAAGGGUAAUCCGCCCAGGGUUAGUCGGAUCCUAAGCUGAGGCCGAAAGGCGUAGGCGAUGGGAAGCAGGUCAACAUUCCUGCACCACUGGGGCGCGCGUCGAUGCUGCAAGGGAGGACGGAGAAGGGUAGGUCAGCCUGCCGCUGGUUGCGCAGGUUCAAGCUCGCAGGGGUCGGCAGCGGAUAAUAAACGGCCGGUUCACCCCGAGGAGUGAAGAGGAGGCCUUCGGGCCGCAAACUGAUCGAUCCCAUGCUUCCAAGAAAAGUCCCGCAGUGGAGUGCGCUCCGGUGUCCGUACCGGAAACCGACACAGGUGGGCAGGGCGAGAAUCCCAAGGCGCUUGAGAGAACCGUGGUUAAGGAACUAGGCAAAUUGGC
Molecule: ribosomal RNA, 1833 nt
Rfam family: Bacterial large subunit ribosomal RNA